ACACUCCUGCGGGAGGCAGCAGUGGGGAAUAUUGGACAAUGGGCGCAAGCCUGAUCCAGCCAUGCCGCGUGAGUGAUGAAGGCCCUAGGGUUGUAAAGCUCUUUUGUGCGGGAAGAUAAUGACGGUACCGCAAGAAUAAGCCCCGGCUAACUUCGUGCCAGCAGCCGCGGUAAUACGAAGGGGGCUAGCGUUGCUCGGAAUCACUGGGCGUAAAGGGUGCGUAGGCGGGUCUUUAAGUCAGGGGUGAAAUCCUGGAGCUCAACUCCAGAACUGCCUUUGAUACUGAAGAUCUUGAGUUCGGGAGAGGUGAGUGGAACUGCGAGUGUAGAGGUGAAAUUCGUAGAUAUUCGCAAGAACACCAGUGGCGAAGGCGGCUCACUGGCCCGAUACUGACGCUGAGGCACGAAAGCGUGGGGAGCAAACAGGAUUAGAUACCCGGGUAGUCCCA
This 448-nucleotide ribosomal RNA is filed under the name uncultured organism. RNAcentral describes it as "partial 16S ribosomal RNA". It matches the Rfam family "Bacterial small subunit ribosomal RNA", at positions 333 to 797 of the family's 1533-position model. The record is from RNAcentral.